GGCUCUCUGCCCCCUCCCCGCGCCUCUCCGCCCCGCCCGGCCGGUGCCGCUGUGUCCGGGGCCGCGGGUCCCUCAGCCGCCGCCACCGCCGCCGCCGCCGCGAUCCGGGACAACCAGAGUCACCCGGAAGACGCGGACACUGGACUGCCAGGCCCUCGGAUCCGGAUUCCGCGCUUGUGUGGAGUCUGGAGCCGGAAACUCCAGUAUGAUUAUGAAAGCCCUCAAGUGAGACCAGCUCAGGUAAAGAGGAUUAUGCUCAACAAGCAAGAACAAACCUUCACCUUUCUACAAUCCUUAGUACAGCAUUAUACAGUCUAUUGCCUGCCAUCUCUGAUUUCCUAUAGUGGGAACAACUUCAUUAAAAAAAAAAAAAAAAAAAA
This 380-nucleotide long non-coding RNA is filed under the name Homo sapiens (human). Its description in RNAcentral is "HSALNT0381773". Lineage: Eukaryota; Metazoa; Chordata; Mammalia; Primates; Hominidae. The record is from RNAcentral.